RNAcentral lists this ribosomal RNA (325 nucleotides) under uncultured eukaryote. Its description in RNAcentral is "partial 18S ribosomal RNA". It matches the Rfam family "Eukaryotic small subunit ribosomal RNA", at positions 1469 to 1796 of the family's 1831-position model. The record is from RNAcentral.
UCCCUUAGAUGUUCUGGGCCGCACGCGCGCUACACUGAUGCAUUCAACGAGUUUCUUCCUGGUCCGAGAGGAAUGGGUAACCUUUUGAAAGUGCAUCGUGAUAGGGAUAGACUAUUGCAAUUAUUGGUCUUCAACGAGGAAUUCCUAGUAGACGUAGUUCAUCAGACUGCAUCGAUUACGUCCCUGCCCUUUGUACACACCGCCCGUCGCUCCUACCGAUUGAAUGCUCAGGUGAGCCAUUCGGACUUUCAUCAUGCUGGUUUCCAGUUUUGAUGAAGGAAAGUCUUGCGAACCUUAUCAUUUAGAGGAAGGAGAAGUCGUAACA